This 250-nucleotide ribosomal RNA is filed under the name uncultured bacterium. Its description in RNAcentral is "partial 16S ribosomal RNA". It matches the Rfam family "Bacterial small subunit ribosomal RNA", at positions 524 to 773 of the family's 1533-position model. The record is from RNAcentral.
UACGGAGGGUGCAAGCGUUAUCCGGAUUUAUUGGGUUUAAAGGGUGCGUAGGCGGCUUUAUAAGUCGGUGGUUAAAGGCAGCAGCUUAACUGUAUGCAUGCCAUCGAUACUGUAAGGCUUGAGUGAUUUGGAGGUAGCUAGAAUUCCCUGUGUAGCGGUGAAAUGCAUAGAUACGGGGAGGAAUACCGAUUGCGAAGGCAUGUUACUACGAAUUAACUGACGCUGAGGCACGAAAGCGUGGGGAUCAAAC